RNAcentral lists this ribosomal RNA (252 nucleotides) under uncultured bacterium. Its description in RNAcentral is "partial 16S ribosomal RNA". It matches the Rfam family "Bacterial small subunit ribosomal RNA", at positions 524 to 776 of the family's 1533-position model. The record is from RNAcentral.
UACGUAGGGGGCAAGCGUUGUCCGGAAUCAUUGGGCGUAAAGCGCGUGUAGGCGGCUAGAUAAGUCUGCUCUGAAAGCCCGGGGCUCAACCCCGGGAGGCGGGUGGAUACUGUCUAGCUCGAGUCCGGAAGAGGAGUGUGGAAUUCCUGGUGUAGCGGUGAAAUGCGCAGAUAUCAGGAGGAACACCAAUGGCGAAGGCAGCACUCUGGGACGUGACUGACGCUGAGACGCGAAAGCGUGGGAGCAAACAGG